GACGAACGCUGGCGGCGUGCUUAACACAUGCAAGUCGAGCGGUAAGGCCCUUUCGGGGGUACACGAGCGGCGAACGGGUGAGUAACACGUGGGUGACCUGCCCUCAGCUCUGGGACUAAGCCUGGGAAACUGGGUCUAAUACUGGAUAUGACUCCACGGUGCAUGUCGUGGGGUGGAAAGCCUUGUGCGGCUGAGGAUGGGCCCGCGGCCUAUCAGCUUGUUGGUGGGGUGAGGCCUACCAAGGCGACGACGGGUAGCCGGCCUGAGAGGGCGACCGGCCACACUGGGACUGAGACACGGCCCAGACUCCUACGGGAGGCAGCGAGUGGGGAAUCUUGCGCAAUGGGCGAAAGCCUGACGCAGCGACGCCGCGUGAGGGAUGACGGCCUCGG
This 392-nucleotide ribosomal RNA is filed under the name uncultured bacterium. RNAcentral describes it as "bacterial SSU rRNA". It matches the Rfam family "Bacterial small subunit ribosomal RNA", at positions 28 to 420 of the family's 1533-position model. The record is from RNAcentral.